AACACUGUUAACCUGCGGUACCUGCGGAAGGAUCAUUACAAGAUUCUAACGGUUCUGGCCCGUAAAAAGGCUAUGAACUAUUCAACCCUUUGUGAACCAAAACCUUUUUUCGCUUCGGUAGCAAGCCAGUUUCUUGGUGAAAACUAAAUUUCUGUGCUGUCAGCCUACCGGCAGCACUAUUAAACUUGCACUUAAAUAUUGUCUGAUUAUUAUAUUUUUGAAUGAAAUCAAAACUUUCAG
RNAcentral lists this unclassified non-coding RNA (240 nucleotides) under soil metagenome. RNAcentral describes it as "partial contains 5.8S ribosomal RNA, internal transcribed spacer 2, and large subunit ribosomal RNA". The record is from RNAcentral.